Molecule: long non-coding RNA, 529 nt
Organism: Carassius gibelio (silver crucian carp)
Lineage: Eukaryota; Metazoa; Chordata; Actinopteri; Cypriniformes; Cyprinidae
Exons: 4
Source: RefSeq, a predicted model, not a curated record
CGGCUGACUGACAGUUAAUACAUAUGAUCUGAAAUACAUAGCAUAUUUUUACAUUUAGCUAGCAAAAUAUCUGAGUAUAGUUUAGGCAAAGAGGCUUAUUCUCACGUAAACCAGAUAGAAAAGUUUUCACAUGUAUUUGUAAGAAACAUAAUUAGCUUGUUUGAUCUGAUAACUUCAAGUUUUCAUAGGAAACACAUAAGGUAAACACUGUAUAAAAGCACUGCCCAUUAGUCAAAAUAAGCUACUCUAAUUUACAUUCUAGGUUUCAUUCGUUGCAAUUAAAUACAAACAUCUGAAUACACAAAUACAUUUGUAACAUUUUUUUCCAGUUUUUGUUUGUAAGGCAUUGUUUGCAGCAUUUUUUUUAUCCUAUGGAAUGUGUCCCAAGUCAUACAUUUUUUCUGUCAUUGAUUGUCUGUUAAACUCUUGCCAGGGACUUGUUUGCAUUGUUUGCGAUGAUCUCCAUCCUCUGAAGGUGGGUUUUCACUGCUCUCCGGAUCUGCUCCCAUGCGUGAGAACUAUAUUUCUU